This 382-nucleotide ribosomal RNA is filed under the name uncultured Actinomycetes bacterium. RNAcentral describes it as "bacterial SSU rRNA". It matches the Rfam family "Bacterial small subunit ribosomal RNA", at positions 9 to 396 of the family's 1533-position model. Lineage: Bacteria; Bacillati; Actinomycetota; Actinomycetes. The record is from RNAcentral.
GAGUUUGAUCUUGGCUCAGGACGAACGCUGGCGGCGUGCUUAACACAUGCAAGUCGAGCGGUAAGGCCUUCGGGUACACGAGCGGCGAACGGGUGAGUAACACGUGGGUGAUCUGCCCUGUACUUCGGGAUAAGCCUGGGAAACUGGGUCUAAUACCGGAUAUGACCACUUCUCGCAUGGGGGGUGGUGGAAAGCCUUGUGCGGUAUGGGAUGGGCCCGCGGCCUAUCAGCUUGUUGGUGGGGUAAUGGCCUACCAAGGCGACGACGGGUAGCCGGCCUGAGAGGGCGACCGGCCACACUGGGACUGAGACACGGCCCAGACUCCUACGGGAGGCAGCAGUGGGGAAUAUUGCACAAUGGGCGCAAGCCUGAUGCAGCGACG